Molecule: ribosomal RNA, 466 nt
Filed under: uncultured bacterium
Lineage: Bacteria
Description: bacterial SSU rRNA
Rfam family: Bacterial small subunit ribosomal RNA
Source: RNAcentral
GGCGAACGGGUGCUGUAACACGUGGACAUCUACCUUCUCGACCGGGAUAACUCGCCGAGAAGGCGAACUAAUACCGUGCAUAAGCCCCCGGGGUCUAAGUGAUUCAGAGGGAAAGAUGGCGGGCACUGUAAACAAGCUGUCACAGAGAAGAUGGGUCCGCGUGUCCAUCAGCUAGUUUGGCGGGGUAACUGGCCCACCGAAGGCGACGACGGGUCAGCUGGUCUGAUGAUGGAUGAUCACGCGCACACUGUGAAGCUGAUGACACGGUCCAGACUCAUAACGGGAGGCAGCAGUGGGGAAUCUUGCGCAAUGGGCGAAAGCCUGACGCAGCAACGCCGCGUGUGUGAUGAAGGUCUUCGGAUCGUAAAGCACUGUCGCGAGGGAAGACGAGCCGCUUGAUAAUACCAAGUGGAAGAGACGGUACCUCGAGAGGAAGCACCGGCUAACUCUGUGCCAGCCGCCGCGG